CUGGGACGAGGAAGACGGUUAAUCCGCCCGGUUUGGAACCGGGAGACACGCGGUUCGACUCCGUGGUCCCAGA
This 73-nucleotide transfer RNA is filed under the name Longispora fulva. It matches the Rfam family "tRNA". From Rfam's summary of the family: Transfer RNA (tRNA) molecules are approximately 80 nucleotides in length. Their secondary structure includes four short double-helical elements and three loops (D, anti-codon, and T loops). The record is from Rfam by way of RNAcentral. Lineage: Bacteria; Bacillati; Actinomycetota; Actinomycetes; Micromonosporales; Micromonosporaceae.